Long non-coding RNA from Spinacia oleracea (spinach), 1538 nucleotides. RefSeq lists it as uncharacterized. The transcript has 4 exons. The record is from RefSeq and is a predicted model, not a curated record. Lineage: Eukaryota; Viridiplantae; Streptophyta; Magnoliopsida; Caryophyllales; Amaranthaceae.
UGGUUAGCUAUUCCCUGAGGUGAGUUACGAGGGCGUAACUCGUUUUCUUUAAGGGGGGUAGAAUGCGAUAGAAAUUCGCGCUUUUUACCUAUUUUAUGGAAUUUUUAUGCAUUUUAUUGCUUAUUUUAGCAAAUUUUACAAGUUGAUGCAAAGCAAAUAGAUUCUCCGCAAAAGAAAAGGUGUUCAUGAGUAACACAAACAGCUUUGAGUUGGCAAAAUAGUGCACAUAGGUGGCACAAGUAUUUCUCUAGUAAGAAUAAGUUAAAAGCUUUGGGAAAAUGUGGGAAAUUUCGUGUCAAGUUUCGGGACGAAACUUCUUUUAAGAGGGGUAGAUUGUAAUCCCCCGUAAAUUUAUAAAUUUUAUUAAUAUAUUUUAACGUAUAUUAUUUAUAUUUAAAUAGAAUUUAUGAAUUUUAGUAAUAAAUAUAUAAUUAACGUAUAUUUAUUUCAUUUUAAGUACGUUCUAAAUAUUUAACGAUUUUCUUGAACUUUAUUAUAUUUAUAUAUUUAAUGUAUAUUUAAUUUUAUUUAAAUAUAUUCUAAAUAUUUUAACGAUUUGUGCAAUCAAGAAUAAUUUUAGAAUUUUACGUUGAAAAGAAUUCGAAUUACGAAAACACGUUCGAUUGAAAUUAGAAACCAAUCCUAACCCUUUUGGAUUCAAACAACCUAAAUCCUAAUUGUAGCCCAAUUGGGUGAAGCCCAAAUGAUAAAGCCCAUAACUCUUUACUCCCUCUUUCAAUUGCAAGUAAAAACAAAAAAACAAAAAAAAACAAAAAAAAAAAAUAAAACCCUCUUCUCUCCUACUCCAUUCACGUGAAAUCAAACACCAAAACCCUUCCCUCCUUCACGUAACUCUCUCCUCCCCUUUGCUGUUCAGCCGCCACCCUGAACCCUCGCCGGCGACCACCGCCGUCCGCCCGCGCCGCCAGUAAGCCAACUCCUCCUCAUCUCCUCCGUCGUCUCUUCCUCCCUCUCUGUUUUCGUCCUUCCUCUCAGCCCUUCGUUUUUGCGCAGCAACACCGCAAGCCACGCCCUGUCACCGCCAGCAACCGCUCCAGCCUCAGCCGCCGGCCGCCGCCACUACAAGCCGGACCACCGCCGUCGCCGCUCACGUUCUCCGCGAGUCUCACCACCACCCAGCAUCACGACGACAGCCGUCGCACUGCCGCCCAGUCAAUCCGCUCCGUCGCGCUGCCCUACCCGCCGGCCAGCACCUCCCCUCUCCUCCUUUUGGCGGAGAAUUCUUUGUAGGCGAUUUUUGAAUUCGUUAAAGUGGCCUAUCGGUUUGUUUACACAAGUCUCUAAGGAUCAAUAAGCAUUGUCCAUCUGCAGGUUUGAAGAUGUUGCAUCAUUGGGAUCGGGAAUAGAGAGCUUGUAUUUAGUUUUGAUUUGCUAAGUUAACUUGGGUUUGUUAAUUGGGACUUUAAACUUGUCGUACUAUUUAUAUUUCCUUAUUUUCGUUGGAUGAUUCUUGGGGACUAAAUCUGUAAUAGAUUAUUUAUAAACCUAAAGUUAGUUUUAUGUUUUCCGCUGCAAAA